Long non-coding RNA from Gallus gallus (chicken), 1137 nucleotides. The record is from Ensembl. Lineage: Eukaryota; Metazoa; Chordata; Aves; Galliformes; Phasianidae.
GUAAGGGUUGGCAGUGGAGGUGAGGAUAUCUUGUUGGAGAUCCCUACCUACCUGAGGCAUUCCAAAGGAGUUCUUUCGUUAAAGAGUACUUUCUGAAACACAUAUCCAGAACACUGAAUAUUUUCCUGCUGCUAAGCACAACUAGCUGUAGUCUUCUAAAUCAUCUACCCUUCUACAGAAUUUUCCAGUUUUCUUCUGAACAUGCCAUCUGGACAUGGAGAGACUGGAUCAGGAAAGUGAAGGCACAGCUGGAAUGGAACUUGGCAAGGGAUAUGGAAGUUAACAAGACUCUACGGAUACUAUGAUCAGAAGAGACAGAUCAAGGAGAGUCUACCCCUUCACAUAAAUUAAAAGUAAGAACUAGCUACAACAAACAUGGAGAAGGCUGACAUUAUCAAGUUCCUUGCCUCAGUCUUCACUGGCAGUCAAAUUUCUCACAUCUCUCAUAUCCCCGAACCUCUAGGCAGAGGUCGGGAUAGCAAAAUUUCCUCCGCUGUAAAUUCAAAACUACCUUAUGGGGCUAAAUGUAUAGAAGUCUAUGGGGCUGGAUGACAUGCAUUCCAGGGUCCAGAAGGAAAUGAGUGAUGUGGUUGCCAAGCCACGCACCAUCAUAUCUGAAAGGUCAUGGUUGUCAUGUGAAGUCCUCAGUGACUGGAGAAAGGAAAACAUCACUCCGAUUUUUAAGAAAGGGAAAAAGGAAGAGUUGGGAAACUACAGGCUGGUGAGCCUCACCUCUGUGCCUGGGAAGUUCAUGGAGCAGGUCCUCCAGGAAGUUAGAUUAAGGUGCAUGCAAGACAAGGAGAUCCAAGAUGGCCAGUACAGCUUCACCAAGGGAAGAUCGUGCCCAACCAGUCCAAUGGCCUUCUGUGAUUGGGUAAAAGUGUCUAGUUCAAGAUCUGAAGGGACUGUGAAAUUGCUUUUCCAAUGGUGAGUGAAAACACAGUCAGACACACGCAGAAAAUAAGACCUUCACAGCCUGUGGCACUACACAGCCCCAAAACAUUAAUAUGAGGGGAAAAUGGCACUAGUGUAAUGUACAGUGAUGAUGAAUAAGACUCAUCAGUGUGAUUUAACCCAAUUUAAUUUGAAUUAUAUUCAUUAGAAGGUAUAUUUAUAUUGUUCGUACUUUCAGCAUUA